UGGGGAAUAUUGGACAAUGGGCGAAAGCCUGAUCCAGCCAUGCCGCGUGUGUGAAGAAGGUCUUCGGAUUGUAAAGCACUUUAAGUUGGGAGGAAGGGCAGUAAGCGAAUACCUUGCUGUUUUGACGUUACCGACAGAAUAAGCACCGGCUAACUCUGUGCCAGCAGCCGCGGUAAUACAGAGGGUGCAAGCGUUAAUCGGAAUUACUGGGCGUAAAGCGCGCGUAGGUGGUUCGUUAAGUUGAAUGUGAAAGCCCCGGGCUCAACCUGGGAACUGCAUCCAAAACUGGCGAGCUAGAGUAGGGCAGAGGGUGGUGGAAUUUCCUGUGUAGCGGUGAAAUGCGUAGAUAUAGGAAGGAACACCAGUGGCGAAGGUGACCACCUGGGCUCAUACUGACACUGAGGUGCGAAAGCGUGGGGAGCAAACAGG
RNAcentral lists this ribosomal RNA (429 nucleotides) under Pseudomonadota bacterium. RNAcentral's name for it is "Proteobacteria bacterium partial 16S ribosomal RNA". It matches the Rfam family "Bacterial small subunit ribosomal RNA", at positions 355 to 776 of the family's 1533-position model. Lineage: Bacteria; Pseudomonadati; Pseudomonadota. The record is from RNAcentral.